This 373-nucleotide unclassified non-coding RNA is filed under the name soil metagenome. RNAcentral describes it as "partial contains 5.8S ribosomal RNA, internal transcribed spacer 2, and large subunit ribosomal RNA". The stretch from base 1 to 121 matches the Rfam family "5.8S ribosomal RNA", at positions 35 to 154 of the family's 154-position model. The record is from RNAcentral.
GAUGAAGAACGCAGCGAAAUGCGAUAAGUAAUGCGAAUUGCAGAAUUCCAGUGAGUCAUCGAAUCUUUGAACGCACAUUGCGCCCUUUGGUAUUCCGAAGGGCAUGCCUGUUCGAGCGUCAUUAUCACCCCUCAAGCCCUCGGCUUGGUGUUGGACGGUUUGGUGGAGGCCCCCUCGGGGGCUCCUGCCCCUCCCAAAGACAAUGACGGCGGCCUCGUUGGACCCCCGGUACACUGAGUUCUUCACGGGACACGUAUCGGACACAUGGGUUUACGGGACACGGUCUGCCUCCCCUCAGGGAGAAUCUUUCUAAGGUUGACCUCGGAUCAGGUAGGAAUACCCGCUGAACUUAAGCAUAUCAAUAAGCGGAGGA